CCGUGUUACCCGCUUAUGUGGCUCUAUUUUUGCCUAGUCAUUGAUUCCACAUGACUUUUAUAAUUUCUUUUUAUUACACAUGGUCUAAUAAAAAAAAUUAAACAUUUUAAGUUUAAAUUUAAUCCCUAAUCCCUAAUCAUCCCAAAUCAAAGAUGGACAAAACUCAUGGACCUCGAAGCUCCACUGGCACACAACAUCCAAUUCAUCCCAAACAGCACCUUGUUAACACCGGCUGCACCACCUCUGUUCCCUCUCUUGUUUAUCAACUCACCCCACCUCCUUAACACCGUGGCCCUAAAACAACAGAGAUAUAGGGUUUGGGUAAGUAUUUAUAAUCAAAAUUGCUCCUUUCUCCAAAAUUGCACAACAAAAUGCAAAGGUUGCAACCGUGGUGGUUUGGGUUUGCGUUUUCGUCGUCGUCAUGGUGGGAGUAGGUGUGGUCACAGGGUGCGGUGGUGAGAUGGAAUCUCGCGGUUGGUUCCUUGUUCUGUGGUGGCUGGUGUCUUGCUUUAUGGUGGUUGGUGUCCUUGAACUCAUGGAGUUGAAGCCAUGGAAAGGAGAUGCAUAAGAACUUGGUAAUUGGCAGCUUUAUAAGAUUUGGGGAAACGAUGUUAAUUGUGGAAUUUUCAUUGUGUUUUAGAUUCAUGAUUUCAAGUGGGGUUUCAGAAUUUGUGAUUUUUCCUUUUUCGUUCUGGGUUGGUAAUGGAUCAGGUUCAAGGGACUAUUCAUCUUCAUGAAAACUGGGUUUAGGAAUGUUUUGUUUUUGAAGAUAAUGUUUUGUAAAAGUGAUCUGAAAAAGAAAAGAUGAGGGAAGUAUGUGUUAA
Molecule: long non-coding RNA, 824 nt
Organism: Lotus japonicus
Lineage: Eukaryota; Viridiplantae; Streptophyta; Magnoliopsida; Fabales; Fabaceae
Exons: 2
Source: RefSeq, a predicted model, not a curated record